GAAUAACGUGGUAUUUUAAUUAACAACUGAUAGGUUAUAGUUUCCGGUGCAUCGUACAAUACCUACAUUGAAAAAUAAUGAAAGUAGUAGAGUAGUUGAAAUUAUGACAAAGUAAUUACAGUACAUUAAUAAAUUAUGCAACCAGCUGUAACAAUGAACCUAAAACUAAAAACCUUACAAAAUAAUAAUUACAAUAAUAAUUGCCAUAAGCGGCAAUCUAUUUUUAUAUAGUGCUUUUAAAAAAUUGUAUUUUUAAUACCUUUUUUGAAAAAUAUUGUGUAAUUAAUAAUAACUUAAUACGUGAUUCGCUACACUACAAACAGCUACUAGACUUAACAUGUCCGCGGAACUAAACAGCUUCAAACAGCUACUAGACUUAAUAUGUCCGCGGAACUAAACAGCUACAAACUACAAACAGCUACUAGACUUAACAUGUUCGUGAAACUAAACAGUUCCGCGAACAUGUUUACUGGAACUAGUUCCGACACUCAAAAGAACGAUGUCAUGUUCAAUCCAGUUCUGAACAUGAUUAGCGCACGUCUAAUCGACAACGUAAAUGCGCGCUACACGCCUCGAGAUACGAGUUCUAAAUCUCAGUUUUAACACUACAACGGUUGCCCCACCCUUCAAACUGAAACGCAUUACUGCUUCACGGCAGAAAUAAGCGGAGUGGUGGUACCUACCCGUGCGGACUCACGCGAGGUCUAACCACCAGUAAUUACGCAAAUUAAAUUUUUCCGAGAUUGAUUUUUAUUACGCGAUGUGAUUGAGUGAUGAACAUUUGUUAGGUACGUAUUUCAUAGUCUCUAUCUUCGAUCAACAAUAGUAACUAGAUUUCGGGUCGGUGCAUAAAAUCCGUCUCGUCAAAUAACAGCGCACUUGAAAUGUGAGCUGUUAUUUUGUUUAGUUCACUUCAAACACAGCCAAUGUCAACCCGUCUCACAAUACCGCAGUGUGUAUUCAAAAGUUGCAAAAAUAAGGCCCGAAAAAGCAAUUUAACGGCCGGAAUAUCUUACUUUCGCUUUCCUAGCAAUCACGUGUGCAGAAUGGAUCUGGAUUGUCUCCAGAGAAACAAGAGAUGACUUUUAUAAGCCAGCUAAGAUCUCCGCUUAUUGACACUGGACAUCUUUGUCUUCCGUGCUCACGGCUACUGAAACGUGGCCGAAACAUUGUAAUAAAAAUACCGCGCUUGAAACCGUUUAAA
This is a long non-coding RNA of Bombyx mori (domestic silkworm), 1204 nucleotides long. RefSeq lists it as uncharacterized. The record is from RefSeq and is a predicted model, not a curated record. NCBI's taxonomy places the organism in Eukaryota, Metazoa, Arthropoda, Insecta, Lepidoptera, Bombycidae. The transcript is spliced from 2 exons.